GCUUUUAGAGGGGAGGAACCCCACCGGCUUUAGGAGCCGGCCAUUCUUGGCCAAACCCAAGUGGAAGCUAUGAUCGAA
RNAcentral lists this transfer RNA (78 nucleotides) under Sphenodon punctatus (tuatara). RNAcentral describes it as "tRNA-Leu". Lineage: Eukaryota; Metazoa; Chordata; Lepidosauria; Sphenodontia; Sphenodontidae. The record is from RNAcentral.